AGUGAACGCUGGCGGUAGGCCUAACACAUGCAAGUCGAACGGCAGCACAGUAAGAGCUUGCCCUUACGGGUGGCGAGUGGCGGAAGGGUGAGGAAUACAUCGGAAUCUACUUUUUCGUGGGGGAUAACGUAGGGAAACUUACGCUAAUACCGCAUACGACCUACGGGUGAAAGCAGGGGAUAUUCGGACCUUGCGCGAUCGAAUGAGCCGAUGUCGGAUUAGCUAGUUGGCGGGGUAAAGGCCCACCAAGGCGACGAUCCGUAGCUGGUCUGAGAGGAUGAUCAGCCACACUGGAACUGAGACACGGUCCAGACUCCUACGGGAGGCAGCAGUGGGGAAUAUUGGACAAUGGGCGCAAGCCUGAUCCAGCCAUGCCGCGUGGGUGAAGAAGGCCUUCGGGUUGUAAAACCCUUUUGUUGGGAAAGAAAAGCAGCAGGUUAAUACCCCGCUGUUCUGACGGUACCCAAAGAAUAAGCACCGGCUAACUUCGUG
Molecule: ribosomal RNA, 492 nt
Filed under: uncultured bacterium
Lineage: Bacteria
Description: partial 16S ribosomal RNA
Rfam family: Bacterial small subunit ribosomal RNA
Source: RNAcentral